AAAUGUAAAAGGGAGAGUAAGUGAAACUCAAUAAAAGAAAUAACGGUUCACCCAGGGCGAAGCUCGGCCAUUGCACUCCGGCUGUGUUGACCCCUGCGAAUUCCUCAAAUGUGGGAAUCUCGACUGCAUAAUUUCUGCUAGUGGGGGACUGCGUUCGCGCUCUCCCCUG
Molecule: small nuclear RNA, 169 nt
Organism: Conger conger (European conger)
Lineage: Eukaryota; Metazoa; Chordata; Actinopteri; Anguilliformes; Congridae
Product: U1 spliceosomal RNA
Exons: 1
Source: RefSeq, a predicted model, not a curated record